Molecule: long non-coding RNA, 1150 nt
Organism: Apus apus (common swift)
Lineage: Eukaryota; Metazoa; Chordata; Aves; Apodiformes; Apodidae
Exons: 3
Source: RefSeq, a predicted model, not a curated record
CAGGACGAUCUUCUGAACUGCGAAGAUGCAUUGACUGAAAGUUAAGUGGGAACAACUGGACAAAAUCAGAAUAUGGAAGAUUUUUCCAGCUGAGAAACAAGUGGAAGAGAACAAGAUUGGAAGCACCCAGCUUGAGCUGCAGUAAACUGGUUCUGUGGCAGAACUGAGGGUCUGAGCUUCUCUCUCAGGUUGGAGGUGAAGACUGGAUCCAGCUGCACCUAGGCUCUGCCCUGAGAAGAAGCUGAGAAACCAAAGAGGUCCUGUCUGAAGCUCACAACUCAAAAGGAGGGACUUUUGGGACUCCUCACCUGGUGGCAUCUGCAUUGGAGGAGGAGUUUUUUUGUUGCUGAGAGUUUCCUCUCAUGCUUGUGUCGCAUCCUUUGUGUUUGUGUGUUGUGUCUCUGUGCUGUUGAGUUGGAGCUGCUCUCUCUGGAGGCUGUAGCAGCUGUGGGGUUGGGAGAAGACUAGCAAGGAGAGCCUGUGGUUUGUGUUGCUGUGCUGUCUGUGCCUGUUGGGGUGCAGAUGGAGCAUUUGAAGUAAAGUAGCAGCCCUCAGCAGGGGAGGGUGGUCAUUUUCCUAGUGUUUUUGAGAGGGGGUGGCUGGAGCCACCUGGGAGAGGCUGCUGGAGCCAUAGCCAAGCAGGUUGGGUGCCCAGGUUGUUAAGGCCUGAAUGUGGGGCGUAAUGUUAACUUGUUUUUUAGCUUCCCUGUAGGUAGUUAGGAUCCAAAAGAUGUUCCUAAAUGGGAAUCUCUGGAAUUGCAUCCAGCUGAUUGCUUGUUACUGCUUUUUCAGAUGCAGGGAGAGGAGCCACACACCAGAGGGUGAUGGAGGAGAGGAGCAGAGUGUGGUGAGGAGCUGGGUCGGUGCGUAUUGAAGAGCCUGGGUGAGUUGUCCCCUGGGUUGUGAGGGAAGGUGUGAGUGGUGCCUCUAUCGACUGGCUCAUGGUUUGGGUUUGUUUUGUAGGUGCAAAGCACCGAGGGAAGCGGGAGAUCUGCACUGGAGGUGACUCGAGCAAGGCAGCACACAGGGCUGGACGUGGCAACCUGUGACCAUCAGAGGCCGGACAGGUGAGCCACGAAGUUUUGCAGCCUUGGAGCAGUGGAGCAGCAUGCCAACGGGCCAUCUGUGAAGGUGACACAGGCGUCAGCCA